Molecule: long non-coding RNA, 358 nt
Organism: Perca fluviatilis (European perch)
Lineage: Eukaryota; Metazoa; Chordata; Actinopteri; Perciformes; Percidae
Exons: 2
Source: RefSeq, a predicted model, not a curated record
AGGUAAUUUGCAUAGGCUACUGGGAGAGAAGGCAGCUCCACAGGCAUCCACAGAUCCAUGUGUUAUAACCACAUAUCUGCAAUGGCUUCCACAAGUUCACCUGGAACCUCCAAAUCUAGCACCUUCGACUGGGAGGCAGUUUAUGGAGAGACUGCUGAGAAGGCUUCAGGAAGUUCUGCAACAUCAGCCUGUGGAUUUUGACUAUUUACACUUUUACACUGUUUUACACUGGUUUAAGUCAUGAAAUGGGACUUGUACCCUUUUGCAUAGACCAGUACACAUUAACCCUCAUAUGCAUUAUCAUUGCAUUUACUGUAAUUUGUUAUUAAAUAUAGAGUCAAAUUCUUACUUGAAUAUA